AGUGAACGCUGGCGGUAGGCCUAACACAUGCAAGUCGAACGGCAGCACAGUAAGAGCUUGCUCUUACGGGUGGCGAGUGGCGGACGGGUGAGGAAUACAUCGGAAUCUACUUUUUCGUGGGGGAUAACGUAGGGAAACUUACGCUAAUACCGCAUACGACAUACGGGUGAAAGCAGGGGAUCUUCGGACCUUGCGCGAUUGAAUGAGCCGAUGUCGGAUUAGCUAGUUGGCGGGGUAAAGGCCCACCAAGGCGACGAUCCGUAGCUGGUCUGAGAGGAUGAUCAGCCACACUGGAGCUGAGACACGGUCCAGACUCCUACGGGAGGCAGCAGUGGGGAAUAUUGGACAAUGGGCGCAAGCCUGAUCCAGCCAUACCGCGUGGGUGAAGAAGGCCUUCGGGUUGUAAAGCCCUUUUGUUGGGAAAGAAAAGCAGCAGGUUAAUACCCCGCUGUUCUGACGGUACCCAAAGAAUAAGCACCGGCUAACUUCGU
This 491-nucleotide ribosomal RNA is filed under the name uncultured bacterium. Its description in RNAcentral is "partial 16S ribosomal RNA". It matches the Rfam family "Bacterial small subunit ribosomal RNA", at positions 29 to 506 of the family's 1533-position model. The record is from RNAcentral.